CAGUCGCCGCGGGAAUACGGAGGGGGCUAGCGUUGUUCGGAAUUACUGGGCGUAAGGCGUGCGUAGGCGGUUCGUUAAGUCUGUUGUGAAAGCCCCGGGCUCAACCUGGGAAUGGCAAUGGAUACUGGCGAGCUAGAGUGUGUCAGAGGAUGGUGGAAUUCCCGGUGUAGCGGUGAAAUGCGUAGAGAUCGGGAGGAACAUCAGUGGCGAAGGCGGCCAUCUGGGACAACACUGACGCUGAGGCACGAAAGCGUGGGGAGCAAACAGGAUUAGAUACCCCUGUAGUCCCUGUCUCUUAUAC
RNAcentral lists this ribosomal RNA (301 nucleotides) under uncultured bacterium. Its description in RNAcentral is "partial 16S ribosomal RNA". It matches the Rfam family "Bacterial small subunit ribosomal RNA", at positions 509 to 807 of the family's 1533-position model. The record is from RNAcentral.